AACUCAAGAGCUAGACCCCCACAUUAAAAUUCAAUAUAAAAAUAUAAAUAAACCCUAAUUUACUAAAAAAUUUAAUCAAACCAGUUUUUCCCCCUUAGUAUGAGAGACAGAACAGGACUCCGGAGCAAUAGAAAUAGUACCGCAAGGGAACGCUGAAAGAGAAAUGAAAUAACUCAGUAAAGUUAAGAAAAGCAAAGAUUAACUCUUGUACCUUUUGCAUCAUGGUUUAGCAAGAGACCCCCAAGCAAAAAGAAUUUUAGUUUGUUUACCCGAAACUGGGUGAGCUACUCCAAGACAGCCUAAUAAGUAGGGCAAACCCGUCUCUGUGGCAAAAGAGUGGGAAGAGCUUCGAGUAGAGGUGAUAAACCUACCGAACCCAGUUAUAGCUGGUUACCUGGGAAGUGAAUAGAAGUUCAGCCUCUUAGCUUCUCUAGUCUAAAUAGGCCCACAGCCGUCCACAGACGACAAGAACCUUAGAGAGUUAGUCAGAGGGGGUACAGCCCCUUUGACCCAAGACACAACUUUAAAACGAGGGAUAAAGAUCAAAUUUAGACAAGGCAUAAUGUUUAGGUGGGCCUAAAACGCAGCCACCCCGAAAGAAAACGCGUUAAAGCUUAAACAUAAAAUUCCACCUUUAAUCCCGAUAAUUAUAUCUUAUUCCCCUUUAUUUACCAGGUCAUCCCAUACAUCUAUGGGAGUGAUUAUGCUAAUAUGAGUAAUAAGAGGGCUAAAUAAGCCUUCUCCAUGCACAAGUGUAAUUCGGAACGGACAGACCACCGAAUAUUAACGGCCCCAAACGAAGAGGGCACUAGAAGCCAAAUAGACAACCAGAAAACUUUCUAAUAAUAACCGUUAACCCCACACUGGUGUGCUUCCACGGAAAGACUAAAAGAGGAAGAAGGAACUCGGCAAAACUACCCCAAGCCUCGCCUGUUUACCAAAAACAUCGCCUCUUGCCCACUAUACAUAAGAGGUCCCGCCUGCCCUGUGACUUAAAGUUUAACGGCCGCGGUAGUUUUGACCGUGCAAAGGUAGCGCAAUCACUUGUCGUUUUAAAUGGAGACCUGUAUGAAUGGCACAACGAGGGCUUAACUGUCUCCUUCCUCCAGUCAAUGAAAUUGAUCUACCCCGUGCAGAAGCCGGGGAUACACACAUAAGACGAGAAGACCCUGUGGAGCUUUAGACCCGGGGCAAGACCAUGUUAAAAAUAUCUGAUAAACGACUUGAACUAAUUGGACCCUUCCCUAAUGUCUUUGGUUGGGGCGACCGCGGGGAAACAAAAAACCCCCAUGUGGAAUGGAAACACCCAGUUUUCCAAAACCAAGAGCCACAGCUCUAAGUAACAGAAUUUCUGACCUACAAGAUCCGGCAAAGCCGAUCAACGGACCCAGUUACCCCAGGGAUAACAGCGCAAUCCUCGUUUUAGAGCCCAUAUCGACAAGGGGGUUUACGACCUCGAUGUUGGAUCAGGACAUCCUAAUGGUGCAGCCGCUAUUAAGGGUUCGUUUGUUCAACGAUUAAAGUCCUACGUGAUCUGAGUUCAGACCGGAGUAAUCCAGGUCAGUUUCUAUCUAUGAUAUGGGUUUUUUCCUAGUACGAAAGGACCGGAAGAAAGGGGCCCAUACUAAAAGCACGCCCCACCCUUACCUGCUGAAGACAACUAAAACAGACAAGAGGGAAUACCCGACCGCCUAAGAAAAUGGCAC
Molecule: ribosomal RNA, 1706 nt
Filed under: Basilichthys microlepidotus
Lineage: Eukaryota; Metazoa; Chordata; Actinopteri; Atheriniformes; Atherinopsidae
Description: 16S ribosomal RNA
Rfam family: Bacterial large subunit ribosomal RNA
Source: RNAcentral